This 450-nucleotide ribosomal RNA is filed under the name uncultured bacterium. RNAcentral describes it as "bacterial SSU rRNA". It matches the Rfam family "Bacterial small subunit ribosomal RNA", at positions 354 to 796 of the family's 1533-position model. The record is from RNAcentral.
GUGAGGAAUUUUGCGCAAUGGGGGAAACCCUGACGCAGCAACGCCGCGUGAGUGAAGAAGGCCUUCGGGUCGUAAAGCUCUGUCAAGUGGGAAAAAAGUUCUGUAGUGAAUAGCUGCAGAAUUUGAUGGUACUACUAAAGGAAGCACCGGCUAACUCCGUGCCAGCAGCCGCGGUAAUACGGAGGGUGCAAGCGUUGUUCGGAAUUACUGGGCGUAAAGGGCGCGUAGGCGGCUCGGUAAGUCAGAUGUGAAAGCCCUGGGCUCAACCCAGGAAGUGCAUUUGAAACUGCCGGGCUUGAGUAUGGGAGAGGAGAGUGGAAUUCCCGGUGUAGAGGUGAAAUUCGUAGAUAUCGGGAGGAACACCCGUGGCGAAGGCGACUCUCUGGACCAAUACUGACGCUGAGGCGCGAAAGCGUGGGGAGCAAACAGGAUUAGAUACCCCAGUAGUCC